Antechinus flavipes (yellow-footed antechinus) is the source of this 2457-nucleotide long non-coding RNA. RefSeq lists it as uncharacterized. The record is from RefSeq and is a predicted model, not a curated record. The transcript is spliced from 5 exons. Lineage: Eukaryota; Metazoa; Chordata; Mammalia; Dasyuromorphia; Dasyuridae.
CUAUCAGGGCUGGGAGAGAACUUAGUAGGCAGAACAUCAGAGCUGGCAGGUAUGUUAGAAAAUAAAACAUAGAAUAUCAGAGAUGAAAGGGAACUUAGAACGUAGAAUAUCAAAUAGGGAGGGAUCUCCGAGUGAAUGACAUUCAGACUGGAAGGGGCUUCAGAUUUCAUUUGGUCAAACAGCUAUUAUCAGACCCAUAUGGGGUCAGGAAACACAGUCUAAGAAGCUGGGGACUAGAUAAACUCAGAUCACUGGCAUCGUCAUGAGCAAGAAGACAUACACUGCUUAGUCACAGAGGGUAAAUCCAGUAGCUCUGGGUGGAAGUUGAAAAAGGACCAAGUGAGGCUCGAUAGCAGGAAAGAUUUCCUAACAAUUGGAGCUGCCCAAAGUAGGGAAGGCUGCCUCAAAGUGAGGGAUUUCCCUUUUCCUGGAGGUCAGCUAGCAGAAGCUGCAUGGACAUUUGUUAGACUGCAGGUUGCGGAGAAGGCACUGACUGGCAAUGGUAGAACCUGGAAGUUCUCUAUCCCAAUGAACUCGCAGGAACCGAGAUCUAGGGGAUGAAACAUUGGACAAACAAGUUUUGAUUGGAAGUAAAAGGAAGACAAGAAAAUGAGGAAUAUGGAAUAUGGAAGGGGAGCUCCAAAGAAUGAACUGAAGGAAGGAUAGAUCAAGGAGUCAGGUUGCAGGGCAAGAAAGGCCUUGGAAUUCGCUGCAGGGAAUGAAGAAACAAAAAAUCCCCAGUCUUCCUCUGGGUCGGCAGGAGGAGAGACUCCCAGGCAGCUAAAAGCUCCCCAGGGUGAGGAAUGUGGGGAAGGCAACCUGGUGGUGUUUCCACGGAAGCCGGUUUUUCCGAACCCCCUCCUCUGACCAAAGCCAUCCUGGGGAGGGGGACGAUCACCCCAGGCCCUCCAUUUGGUGCCUUCUAGUCUAUGCUGCUGGAAGCAGGCAGCUUGGCAGUGACUCAGAAGUGGGGGGUGCCGAGAGCAGAGGAGGAGCCUCCUAUAGCCAAGUGCUAAAAAAAGACCUGAGGGUCAGAGAGUAGCCAACAAUCCCCCUGCCCUCAGCUGCUUUUAAUAGAUGGGCUCUAUGACUUGAGAGGUCAAAGGGACCUUUGAGAUGAGGUAGUCUCCAAUUUAAUUAAACAAGCAUUUACUAAGGGCCCACUAAGCGGAUGGCACAGUGCCAGGGGCUGGCAGGGAAGAGGCAAACCAAAUUAAAUGAUCACCACCAGCUCCUGCCUUCAAGGAGCUGCCCUUCAAGAAGGGCGUUCUACUGGGGGAAACAUGUUAAUAGAGAGAGCCUCGUACAAUAAUUUGAGAGGGGAGAGAACCUGAAGAACUGUGGGCAUCCGGGAAGGCUUUCAGGAGGGAAAUGACUUCUGAGCUGAGAUGAGAAGUGAAGGAUACUAAAGGACUGAUCCAGGAGUGUGUUCCAGGCACAGAGAGCUCCUCGUGCAAAGGCAAGCAGGCAGGAGAUGGAUUGUGGAGUUCAAGGAAAGUGUGCAGUUUCACAACUAGAAUUUAUGGAAGUGAAUUCUGGGAAACCACUAGAAGUUCAUAGAAUCAGAACUCAUUAGUUUAACUUCUUGGAUUUCAAAUGAGAAAACUGAGACCUCCAAGGGGCAUUAAUAUACCCAUUUUAUAGAUAAGAAAACUGAAGCCCAAAGAAAUUAAGUCAUUUACAGAUGGAUAGUGCCAGAUCCAACAUUCUGAGCCCAGAUCUCCAGAUUCCUAGGCCAAAAUCCCUUUCAUGCUGUCUUUUUUGGAGGAUCUAGGUUUGUGAAUGUACUUUGACCUUAGAGAUUAACUCUCUCAUUUUAUGUCUGAGAAAAGUGAAAUACAUGGAGGUGGAGGGAUAGGGCCAAAGUCCCAGAAAGGAUGAGUAGCAGAAGCUUGAUCGUAGAUGCUUUUACUUCAGAGCUGAUGCUCCCCGAUGCCACGGGAACCAGACUUCCACAAGGUCAUCAGGACUUAAGAAAAAGCUGCACCUGAGAGGCUCAGGCAAGACUUUGCAGCUUCAGAUGCCUCCAGAGAAGACAUUAGAUGGAUGCCUGAAAUGGCGUUAUUCUGUCCCAAAGUGGCCACCUAAUUUCAAUUGGCAAUAAAGUCUUUCUCCCAUUGCUCUUUCAAAGUUCAUCUCUCCCUGAACCCCUCUUCCUCAUUCUCUCAGGUACCUGUUUUCCAUCCCCAUGAUACCUGGUUUUGGAGUCAGGGAACCUGGGUUCAAAUACCAUGAGUAAUCUGCACCCAGAGAGAGGAUUGUGUGUGUGGAUCACAACAUAGUAUUUUCAUUUUUAUUGUUGUUUACUUGCAUUUUAUUUUCUUUCUAAUUUUUUUUCUUUUUGAUCUGAUUUUUCUUUGCAGCAUGAUAAAUGUGGAAAUACGUAUAGAAGAAUUGUACGUGUUUUAACAUAUAUUGGAUUAUACCCUAGAGGGAGUGGAGGGAAGGGAGGGAGAA